Homo sapiens (human) is the source of this 645-nucleotide long non-coding RNA. NCBI's taxonomy places the organism in Eukaryota, Metazoa, Chordata, Mammalia, Primates, Hominidae. The record is from Ensembl.
CUGGUUGCAAUCUUGGCUGUUCUGCUAUUCUUCAUUAUGUUGCCAAGUGUUGAACUACAGCAAAGAGAGCAACGUAACUGGUGUGACUAGAAUUCUCCCUGCCUGAUAGUCAUUGGGAUAGCCUUCUUUUCAAUGUGUGCAAUUGUUGGACUCAUUAUCGGUUUGCAUCGCAGAAACAGAGAAACACCACCUUGGUAACCAGUGCUGCUGUGAGGUGAGAAAAGAACAGGACAGAACUGAAGUAACAACCAGCUCUCACAGUGAGUGAUUCACAUCAGCGUAAAGUCAAGCCAAGCCCCUGCCAAACACCAUUCUACCCUCUGCCUCUGAGACAGCAAGAUAGAGCUUAAGUAGCAACCAGCUCACUCACAGUGGGUGAGUCACAUCAGCAGCAUCAAGACAAGACAAGGAUGUGUGGAGUCCCCCUGCCAUCUGAGUGACCACUCUUGCAGGACCAGGCAUCACCAUGGCCUGGAAAAACCAGCCUCAGUGCCCUCAGUAUUUUUUGGUUGCUCCUUCCCUGGAGUCCUUCACAGCACCAGAAACUGACUCUUCCUGGCUCCAGUUCUCUUCUAGAUCUGAGAGGACAAAAGCCCCACAACCUCCCAGCAACCUGUGCAUCAAUAAAGGCUGCCUUGCUCCCUG